RNAcentral lists this transfer RNA (66 nucleotides) under Ectopsocopsis cryptomeriae. RNAcentral's name for it is "tRNA-Pro". Lineage: Eukaryota; Metazoa; Arthropoda; Insecta; Psocodea; Ectopsocidae. The record is from RNAcentral.
CAGAAUAUAGUUUAACUUAAAAUAUUAGUUUUGGAGACUAAAGAUAAUUUAUUUAAUUUAUUCUGA